GACGAACGCUGGCGGCGUGCUUAACACAUGCAAGUCGAGCGGUAAGGCCCUUUCGGGGGUACACGAGCGGCGAACGGGUGAGUAACACGUGGGUGACCUGCCCUCAGCUCUGGGAUAAGCCUGGGGAAACCGGGUCUAAUACCGGAUAUGACUCCAUGACGCAUGUUGUGGGGUGAAAGCCUUGUGCGGCUGAGGAUGGGCCCGCGGCCUAUCAGCUUGUUGGUGGGGUGAUGGCCUACCAAGGCGACGACGGGUAGCCGGCCUGAGAGGGCGACCGGCCACACUGGGGACUGAGACACGGCCCAGACUCCUACGGGAGGCAGCAGUGGGGAAUCUUGCGCAAUGGGCGAAAGCCUGACGCAAGCGACGCCGCGUGAGGGAUGACGGCCU
RNAcentral lists this ribosomal RNA (390 nucleotides) under uncultured bacterium. RNAcentral's name for it is "bacterial SSU rRNA". It matches the Rfam family "Bacterial small subunit ribosomal RNA", at positions 28 to 417 of the family's 1533-position model. The record is from RNAcentral.